CAAGUUUCGGAGUAUUGUCACUGAGAGAAUUUCAUUGCUCUAUUGUAAGAGAUAAAUAGGAUUUAAAGAAAAUAACGAAAAACAUGAAGAUUUACAUUUUUAUAAUUUGUUUCUUCUGUUACCAUUUGACCAAUUCACUAAGUUAUGAAUUCAAUGUCUGCACGAUAUAUCAAGCGUAUUCGUAUCAACAAUACCAAAAGGAAUUUCAAUAUAGAAGAAAAAGUACAAGAUGCGGGUUUUUAUGGCUUUACACGUGC
Molecule: long non-coding RNA, 257 nt
Organism: Centruroides sculpturatus (bark scorpion)
Lineage: Eukaryota; Metazoa; Arthropoda; Arachnida; Scorpiones; Buthidae
Exons: 3
Source: RefSeq, a predicted model, not a curated record